RNAcentral lists this ribosomal RNA (495 nucleotides) under uncultured bacterium. Its description in RNAcentral is "bacterial SSU rRNA". It matches the Rfam family "Bacterial small subunit ribosomal RNA", at positions 29 to 518 of the family's 1533-position model. The record is from RNAcentral.
AUGAACGCUAGCGACAGGCCUAACACAUGCAAGUCGAGGGGCAGCACAAGGAGCAAUCUGAGGUGGCGACCGGCGCACGGGUGAGUAACACGUAUGCAACCUGCCUGCAAGCGGGGAAUAACCCGUUGAAAGACGGACUAAUACCGCAUAAUACUAAAUUACUGCAUGGUAAUUUAUUUAAACAUUUAUGGCUUACAGAUGGGCAUGCGCAUGAUUAGCUAGUUGGAGAGGUAACGGCUCCCCAAGGCAACGAUCAUUAGGGGUUCUGAGAGGAAGGUCCCCCCACACUGGUACUGAGACACGGACCAGACUCCUACGGGAGGCAGCAGUGAGGAAUAUUGGUCAAUGGACGAGAGUCUGAACCAGCCAAGUCGCGUGCAGGAAGAAUGUCCUAUGGAUUGUAAACUGCUUUUGCAGGGGAAUAAAGUGCAUCACGUGUGAUGUUUUGUAUGUACUCUGCGAAUAAGGAUCGGCUAACUCCGUGCCAGCCGCCGC